This 405-nucleotide ribosomal RNA is filed under the name uncultured bacterium. RNAcentral describes it as "bacterial SSU rRNA". It matches the Rfam family "Bacterial small subunit ribosomal RNA", at positions 32 to 417 of the family's 1533-position model. The record is from RNAcentral.
AAUCAACGCUGGCGGCGUGCCUCAGACAUGCAAGUCGAACGCGAAAGGUUCCUUCGGGAACCGAGUAGAGUGGCGCACGGGUGAGUAACACGUAGGUAAUUUGCCUUUGGGUGGGGAAUAACAGCCGGAAACGGCUGCUAAUACCGCAUAAUGCAGCGGCUCGACAUCGAGACAGUUGUUAAAGCGGGGGAUCGCAAGACCUCGCGCCUAAAGAGAAGCCUGCGGCAGAUUAGCUAGUUGUAGGGUAAUGGCCUACCAAGGCGACGAUCUGUAACCGGCCUGAGAGGGCGGUCGGUCACACUGACACUGACAUACGGGUCAGACUCCUACGGGAGGCAGCAGUCGGGAAUUUUGGGCAAUGGGCGAAAGCCUGACCCAGCAACGCCGCGUGAAGGAUGAAAUCCC